AAAAACAUCGCCUCCCGCAAAAAUCAACGUAUAGGAGGUCUUGCCUGCCCAGUGACUAUAAGUUAAACGGCCGCGGUAUUUUGACCGUGCAAAGGUAGCGCAAUCACUUGUCUUUUAAAUGAAGACCUGUAUGAAUGGUGGAACGAGGGCUUAACUGUCUCCCCCUUCAAGUCAAUGAAAUUGAUCUACCCGUGCAGAAGCGGGUAUAAUAAUACAAGACGAGAAGACCCUUUGGAGCUUAAGACAAAAGACCAACUAUGUCAAAAGUCCUAAAAAUAGGCUAAACCAAAUAGCACUGGUCCCAGUCUUCGGUUGGGGUGACCGCGGGAGAAAAUAAAGCUCCCAUGCGGACUGGGGCAACCCCCUAAAACUAAGAGAGACAUCUCUAAGGCACAGAAUAUCUGACCAAAAAGAUCCGGCCACGUGCCGACCAACGAACCAAGUUACCCUAGGGAUAACAGCGCAAUCCCCUUCCAGAGUCCAUAUCGACAAGGGGGUUUACGACCUCGAUGUUGGAUCAGGACAUCCUAAUGGUGCAGCCGCUAUUAAGGGUUC
RNAcentral lists this ribosomal RNA (555 nucleotides) under Panaque cochliodon. RNAcentral's name for it is "partial 16S ribosomal RNA". It matches the Rfam family "Bacterial large subunit ribosomal RNA", at positions 1809 to 2574 of the family's 2925-position model. The record is from RNAcentral. Lineage: Eukaryota; Metazoa; Chordata; Actinopteri; Siluriformes; Loricariidae.